Molecule: long non-coding RNA, 7095 nt
Organism: Homo sapiens (human)
Lineage: Eukaryota; Metazoa; Chordata; Mammalia; Primates; Hominidae
Exons: 2
Source: RefSeq, a predicted model, not a curated record
ACUUCUGCUUCAGGACAGCUUCUUCUGCCAAAAUGGGACCAGAGCUGAAAGGAAGAGAGAAUGGGUUACUCAGGGAACCCCUGGGGUUUGGAGGAGGACAUUCAUGUCUCCAUUAGUGCCACACAGAGCAUUUUGAGGGUACAGCAGAUUACAGACCUAAGUCAAUAUGUAGUAACACCUAACCUGGCAAUGAGAUAUUCCAUAGAAGGGAAAUUUCUGGAUAAACACUGCUUAUUUCAUUUUGAAAUAAAAUAUAAAGACAGCACAAUUUCCCCUUCUUAGCAAAUAUGUUAAACACACACUUAACCAUUUCUUAAUGAGUCAGGGUUAGUAUGAGUAUCAAGAACAGUGCUGUGCUGAGCUCAAGGGCAACACACUCAGGCUGUUCUCUGCUGCUGCUGCUCCUUUUUUUUUUUCUGUGAGACGGGGUCUUGCUCUGUCGCCCAGGCUGGAGUGCAGUGGCAUAAUCAUGGCUCAAUGCAGCUUCAACAUCCCAGGCUCAAAUGAUCCUUCCACCUCAGCCUCCCAAAAGUAGAAGUAGCUGGGACUAUAGGCCUGUGCCAACAUGCCUGGCUAAUUUUUGUAUUUUUCUGUAGAGAUGGGGUUUCACUAUGUUGCCCAGGCUGGUCUCAAACUUCUGGGCUCAAGCCAUCUGCCCUCCUCAGCCUCCCAAAGUGCUGCGAUUACAGGCAUGAGCCUCUGCACCCAGCCCUGUGUUUCUUUACAUAUUCCUACAUGGCCGUGUCUGUGUUCCUACCAGUUAAUCUAUUUUGUUAGAGCCGUGUGAAAAAGAAGCCCUCAUGGGCUCUGCAUGAGGGCUCGUGAAUUUCUGCUGUCAGUGAACUGCGUGAGUUUAGAUGCAAGGAAGUAACGACAUCUGAUUUGGUUUCAUGAAAACUGAAAACACGCUGGGUAAGGUGGCGCACGCCUGCAAUCCCAGCACUUAGUGAGGUGGGAGAAUCCACUGAGACCAGGAGUUCGGGACCAGUCUGGGCAACAAAGUGAGAUGACGUAUUUACAACAACAACAACAAAAAUAGCCAGGUGAGGGUGGUAUAUGCCUGUAGCCCAGCUACUCAGGAAGCUGAGGCAGGAGGGUUGUUUUAGCCCAGGAAUUGGAGGUUGCAGUCAGCUAUGAUCAUGACACUGCACUCCAGCCCAGGUAAUGGAGAGAGACACUGUCUCUAAAAAAAGUUUAAAGAUGUAAAACGAUAUCAAAGUACAUAAUACAAAGGACAUAACUUAAAAUGUUGAAAGUGGUAACAAGAUUUAUAAAUGAAACAGAGUCACCUGUACCACUCUCUAUUCCUACUUUGAGGGACAAACACUUUCAACUGAUUCUUUUCCUGGUAUUUUCCUUCACUUUUCUGUGUCCCUGGUUCUCAAAGUGGGGUCUCUAGAAUUUGGGAGAAAUGCAAAUUCUUAGACCCCACCCCAGAUAUACCGAAUCAGACUAUGAGGGUGGAGCCCAGCAGCCAAUGUUUAAACAAACCUGUCUCCAGAGAUUCUGCCUCACGACCCCCCAAAGUUCUGACUGUUCUGGGUGAGGUGUUUAUACAAUGACUUCCUCCUAUGGACUGUGAAGGCUUACCUUUCUUCCACCCUCUCCCCAGCCCCACAAUCCUGCCUUCUUAUCUUUUCAGCACAGCUAUAUGACCAAUUUUGAUGAUGUUAAAAUUCAGUGUUUGUUGUAAUUAUGUAAAUAUUUUCACAACUAUCAGUAUAUUUCAUGUUUUAUGUAACUUUUAUUUUCCCUGGACUGAAUAACUGCCUCAUUUUUUUGUUGUCGUGAUGGCUUAGUGGGUUUGUUGUUGUUGUUUUUUAGAAACGAAGUCUCAGUAUGUUGCCCAAGCUGGUCUUGAACUCCCGGUCUUAAGCGAUCUCCUUGCCUCAGCCUCCCGAGUACUUCUCAGUUUUCUAUACAAAUCUCUCAUCUAUCCCUAACCUCUCAGGUAAACCAUGGAUCUCUUCUCAGUACAUUCAGACAUGUAAUAUAAUUUUUUAAAAACUGGAGGGUGGGGAGCCUGUUUGUGUUUUUCUUGGCAAAAUCCUUUCUGCAACUCUAUAUCCUCCUUUUUGAAUCUGGACAGGAUCCUUUCUAGACCCACUGGGCAGCUACCAUCUUGGAACCUCCCUUCACCUUUCUCUGGGUAAAUCCCUGCACCUCUCUACUGCCUCCUGGGUCCCAUGACUUCUUUUUUGGAUAAAAAAGAGGAACAUAUCUUCCACUUUAGAUGGAACACAUCUUCCAGUAGCUUCCUGAGGAAGGCUACAUGGAAAGUAUAUAUUUUAGGGAAACUGUAUGUCUAAAAAUGUAUUCUAAUCUCACACUUCACUGAUAGUUUGGGAAUUCACUGAUAGUUUGGGAAAACUCUGGGUGAGAAAUUGCCCUCCAGAAUUCAGAAAGCACACUGCUCCAAUAUCUCCAGCUGUCAGUAAAGUCUGCUGCCAUUCUGAUUACCAAUCCUUUGUACGUACUCCGUUUUUCCCCUUUGCUGGAGACUUACAUCCUCUCUUAACUUUGACCUCCUAAAGAUUCAUGAUGCUCCUUGGUGUAGUCUAUUUUCAUUCUCUGUGCUGGGUACUCAACAGACCUCUUUAAUCUAGAAACUCAAGUCCUCUGUUCUGAGAACGCUUGAUUCCUUUCUUUGACAAUUUCCUCCUUCCAUUGACUGUAAUCUUUCUAGAUCUCCUAUGAUUCAUAUAUAGGACGUCCUAGGCCAAUCCUCCAAUUUUCUUUUCUCUCCCAGUUUUCAUCUUUCUAUUCUACACAUUUUGGGAGAUUGUCUCAAUUUUAUCUUUUACACACUCUUUGGAUUUCAUUUUUAAUAUAGUUAAUAAUUUCUAAAAAUGCUUGUUUUCCUUUUUUUUUUUUUAAGUUUCCUGUUAUUGUUGCAUGGAUACAGUAUCUUCGCUCUAAAUUCAGAUACUAUGAUUUUGUGACCUUUUCUUUUGUUAUUUACAUUGCCUUUUUUUCCUACUUCUAUUUGUCAAAAUUCACAUUGCCUUUAUUUCCUUGUUUUUCAGUUUACCUGUUCUGGUCUUUCCUCACAUAUCUGACAAUCGUUAGCUCUCUUUGUAUUUCAAAGAAAAGCUCUGGAAUGUGUCUGGGACCUGUGUAUAUAUGGGCAAAACUCAUCAACGAAUGGGCUCCCUGGUGAUUAUUUGGCAGAUUCCUGGCAAUUUCAUCAGAGGAUCCAAAAAUGUAUGUGCAGGCCUUUUUCUCUUUGGUUGGUUGGCUUCUCCAGAGAAUAAGCCUCUUUUUCAACUCAGACAUUUAUACUUAGCUAACAGCAUUCAGGAAACUGAGAAAAGAAGGAACGUUGGAAAUUUCACCCUUCAGUGUGUGGACUUUGAGUUAGUCUUCCCGUGUUCAGUCUAGAGCCUUACUCCAAAUGGAAAUUCCAAGAUCCAGAGCCUCUCUGGCCUGGCUCCUCCCGAGGGAAAACUUCAGAAUUAUGCUAAAAUGGGCAAGGGUAGUGGGAUGGCAGAUGAGUGAAAUGGGCAUAAAUACUUUCAACCAAUCCCCAUAUUCUCAGCUCCACUUUGUACCCCAUCUUCACAAGUAUCUGGUACCUACAAUUUCGUUGCCUUUUCAGGGUUCUGCAGUGUGAACUGGCUUGCUUUUUAUUUUGUUUCUACUCCCUCCCCUAUUCAGGCUUAGAUUUUAGUUUACUCCACUCUGCUAAACUGGUUACCACUUAUCAUUUAGCUGCUUCCCAAAACUUGUUGAGGUCUCUUAAUUGCUGAUGUCUCCUUUCCUGUUCUUUGUCCUCAUGAUUUGAUGCCUUUGAAACACAGUAUCACACAGAGAACGCUGCAAAGUAAAUCUAAAUCUGUGGAGAUGGGUGGGACCCAGUCAUCAUUUUUAAAAAUUACUAUAACAUCUAUAUAUUAAAGCACAUAAGGCAUGAGUUUACAGCUUGAACAACUUUUUGCAAAUUGAAUACACCUCUGUAAUCAGCAUGUAGAAUAUGAAACGGAACACUACUAGCACUCCCAAAGCUGCUUUUGGGCUCUCUUCUAUUCACUAGCACAUCAAGGGUAACCAUUAUAGAGUUGUGCUCCUGUUUGAACUUGAUUUUGUUUAUCCUUAUUACAGUGGAGAAACUCCAAGAUGAACCCCAAAGAUCUCCAUCUCCAGCUGUUCACACUCCUAUGUAAUCUCUAGCCCUUGGGUGUGGAAAGGACUUGUGACUUACUUUAACCAACAACAGAAUAUAGCAAAGAUGCCUAAGAACUGCAAAUGAGAAAUAAUUUUCUCACCUGGUCACAGCAUCUACCAAGAAUGGCGCUGGGGGAGAGAUCAGUGAGAUUCCAUCUUUAUUACCAUGUCCCUCCUUCCCUGUCAAAAGCAUUUCACAUCCCGCAAGUCCAUUAGACAUGGCACCACUCUGCUGUGGGAGAUACACACACAACUAAAUACAGGGUAACAAUACCUGCCUGGUCAGCACUUCAGCUCCAAAUCAAGCUUCACUAAUGACUAUGAGAUUAACGAAGAUGGUUUUGAUAAUUAUGACUGUUUGUUUUGUUUUUCUUAACUAUUCUUCAUCUGAGACUUUUACUUUUGUUUCUGCCAGCAUCCUGACAAACAUUUACAACCAGAAAGGGUAAGCCACUAGCUUGAAGCCAUUAAGUUAAGUUCAGUUAACAAGGCUUUGAUAACAACCCUCAUGUUUUUAAGGAAAAACAAAGAACCUAGUAAUCCUUUAGGCCUUACCCUGAAAGGGUAGCCAGAAGAAAAAUCACAAAUAACAUGAACUUACCGGAACAAUCCACCGGGGUGUGAUCAUGGAUGUGGAAGACACCUGAAAUAAUUUUAUAUGUAUGUAUUUACUUUUUGGAAAGACUGACUUAUUUUCAUACUUAUAAUACUUACUUACAUCUAUUAUGAAAUCCAUUCUAGGAGGGCAAUUCUUAAUUCUUAAUGGUGUUCCUUGAGCUGACAUGGACUUCUAAAUCCAAGACCCUUUUCUGUUAUACAACACAGAUGCUAUCCCUCACCACUUAAGAAAGUGUCAUAAUUUUGAGAAUCUCUUAUCUAAAAAUUUACCAUUCAAGAAUCUAUUACUACUUUCAGUUCACUUAAUAGGACUGCCCCUACCUCACACCCAGUAUUCAGUUUAACAUUUUAUUUUCUGAAAUUUCAGUUAAUUAAUUACAAAUAAUGAUAGCCUUCUUGGUAGCAGCCUGAACAAUGGAUUGUGACUAAUCCAAAUAAAGAGCAACAAGAAAGUACACAGAAAAAUAAUCUGUUUAGAUACAGAUCAUUCUCUAAUUAUCAUGUAUGCAUGAAGAAAGCGCAAUAAAAACACCCAUAUUGCUCCUGGUUCACAGGGCCUUUGAUACAUUAUUUUUAUAUGUUUAACUUUCUAUUAUAGGUCAUCUAUGUGUAGAAUUAUAAACUAAGGAAACCCACCCAUUUUACUAGUAAUUUAGACUAGUCCUUGCAUUGGUGGCCUUACAUACUCAUAAGAAAAAACUAAUGUAAGUCCAGGUAUUAGUAAAUUAGAUAACCACCAAAAGAAUAAAAACACAGGCUGGGCGCAGUGGCGCACGCCUGUAACCCCAGCAUUUUGAGAGGGCGAGGUGGGCAGAUCAUGAGGUCAAGAGAUCAAGACCAUCCUGGCCAACAUGGUGAAACCCUGCCUCUACUAAAAAUACAAAAAUUAGCUGGGCAUGGUGGCAUGCGCCUGUACUCCCAGCUACUCGGGAGGCCAAGGCAGGAGAAUCGCUUGGAGGCGGAGGUUGCAGUGAGCUGAGAUCACGCUACUCCUGGCAAAAAAGCAAGACUCCAUCUCAAAAAAAAAAAACCCACAAAAUCUGACUUUCCUACCAAUACUUUUUAGAUGCAUGUUAACAGCAGGAAAUAAGAGAGAAAAAAUAUCAUAAAUAAUAGUAAACAAAAAAUAGUUUGACAGACUUUUCCACACUUGCAGUUAAUUCUUAUCCUUGGUAAAGUCUUUGUUUAUUAAUCUAAGCUGGUCAUUCCCAACGGGUGGUUCCCAGACCACAUCUGCACCACCUGGGAACAUGUUAGAAACACAACUUUUCAGACCCCACCCAAGAUAUACCAAAAUUAGAAACUUGGAGGUGGGGCCCAGCAAUCUUGUGUGUUAACGUCCCCUCCAAGGGAUUCUGAUAUACACAAAAAUUUGAGAAUUAAUGAUCUAUGCAAACAUUCAGUAUCAUGUGUAUUUCCAAGCCUUCAGGAUGGCAUCUAGCCCCUACAGCAAUUCUCGUCAUAUCACUCAUAAGGUACAAAGUUAGUCAUUUCUGUUUUUUUUUUUUUUUUUUUUUUUUUUUGAGACGGAGUCUCACUGUGUCGCCCAGACUGGAGUGCAAUGGUGCUAUCUCGGCUCACUGCACGCUCCAUCUCCCAGGUUCCAGCAAUUGUCUUGCCUCAGCCUCCCGAGUAGCUGGCGCUACAGGUGUGCACCACCACCCCCGGCUAAUUUUUGUAUUUUCAGUAGAGACAGGGUUUCACCAUGUUGGCCAGGCUGGUCUUGAACUCCUGACCUCAAGUGAUCUGCCCACCUCGGCCUCCCAAAGUGCUGGGAUUACAGGCGUGAGCCACCGUGUCCAGCAAAGUUAGUCAUUUCUAUCUCUCUCAUCCCUGGAGGGAAGGAACUGUUUCAGUUGGCCCUCCAUAUCCAUGAGUUGUGCAUCUGUGGAUUCAACAACUGUAAAUCGAAAAUAUUUGGAGGGAAAAAAAGGAUGGUUGUGUCUGUACUGAACAUGUGCAGGCUUUUAUUCUUGUCAUUAUUUCCUAAACAAUACAAUAUAACAACUGUUUACCAGCAUUUACACUGCAUUAGAUAUUAGAGGUAAGCUAGAUUAUUUAAAAUAUACUAGAGGAUAUGUGUAGGUUAUAUGCAAACACUACACCAUUUUAUAUGAGAUUUAAGCAUGCAUGGAUUUUGGUAUCCAAGGGGAGUCCUGGAACCAAUCCCCCACAGAUACUGAGGGACAACUAUACUUAAUACAGUAUCUUCCAGACUGUAAUAAUGAUUGAUAUGUUCAAUGCCAUUCUUACGCUCUCAUCUUUCUAUAAAACUUUUUAAAAAAUUAAAUAUAUCCUUAUUGUCUCAAGAAA